AGUGAACGCUGGCGGCGUGCUUAACACAUGCAAGUCGAACGAGAACGGGUUAUAGCUUGCUAUAAUUGUCAGCUAAGUGGCGCACGGGUGAGUAAUGUAUAGGUAAUAUGCCUCUUACUAAGGGAUAACAAAUGGAAACGUUUGCUAAUACCUUAUACUCCUUAUUAACAUAAGUUAAUAAGGGAAAGAUUUAUUGGUAAGAGAUUAGCCUGUAUUGUAUCAGUUAGUUGGUGGGGUAAUGGCUUACCAAGACUAUGACACAUAACUGGUUUGAGAGGAUGAUCAGUCACACUGGAACUGAGACACGGUCCAGACCCCUACGGGAGGUAGCAGUGGGGAAUAUUGCACAAUGGACGAAAGUCUGAUGCAGCAACGCCGCGUGGAGGAUGACACAUUCCGGUGCGUAAACUCCUUUUAUAUGAGAAGAUAAUGACGGUAUUAUAUGAAUAAGCACCGGCUAACUCCGUGCCAGCCGCCGCCGUAA
Molecule: ribosomal RNA, 484 nt
Filed under: uncultured bacterium
Lineage: Bacteria
Description: partial 16S ribosomal RNA
Rfam family: Bacterial small subunit ribosomal RNA
Source: RNAcentral